This 51-nucleotide ribosomal RNA is filed under the name Polytrichastrum sphaerothecium. RNAcentral describes it as "partial 26S ribosomal RNA". Lineage: Eukaryota; Viridiplantae; Streptophyta; Polytrichopsida; Polytrichales; Polytrichaceae. The record is from RNAcentral.
AGAUCAGGAAAGACUACCCGCUGAGUUUAAGCAUAUCAAUAGCCGGAGGAA